UACGGAGGGGGCUAGCGUUGUUCGGAAUUACUGGGCGUAAAGCGCACGUAGGCGGCUUUGUAAGUUAGAGGUGAAAGCCCGGGGCUCACCCCCGGAAGGGCAUUGGAAACUGGCGGACUCGAGUCCCGGAGAGGAAGGUGGAAUUCCUGGUGUAGCGGUGAAAUGCGUAGAUAUCAGGAGGAAUACCGGUGGCGAAGGCGGCCUUCUGGACGGUGACUGACGCUGAGACGCGAAAGCGUGGGGAGCAAACAGG
Molecule: ribosomal RNA, 253 nt
Filed under: uncultured bacterium
Lineage: Bacteria
Description: partial 16S ribosomal RNA
Rfam family: Bacterial small subunit ribosomal RNA
Source: RNAcentral